This 253-nucleotide ribosomal RNA is filed under the name uncultured bacterium. RNAcentral describes it as "partial 16S ribosomal RNA". It matches the Rfam family "Bacterial small subunit ribosomal RNA", at positions 524 to 776 of the family's 1533-position model. The record is from RNAcentral.
UACAGAGGGGGCAAGCGUUGUUCGGAAUUACUGGGCGUAAAGGGCGCGUAGGCGGCCUGUUAAGUCGAACGUGAAAUCCCCGGGCUCAACCCGGGAACUGCGUCCGAUACUGGCAGGCUUGAAUCCGGGAGAGGGAUGUGGAAUUCCAGGUGUAGCGGUGAAAUGCGUAGAUAUCUGGAGGAACACCGGUGGCGAAGGCGGCAUCCUGGACCGACAUUGACGCUGAGGCGCGAAAGCCAGGGGAGCAAACGGG